This 494-nucleotide ribosomal RNA is filed under the name uncultured bacterium. RNAcentral describes it as "partial 16S ribosomal RNA". It matches the Rfam family "Bacterial small subunit ribosomal RNA", at positions 28 to 507 of the family's 1533-position model. The record is from RNAcentral.
GACGAACGCUGGCGGCGUGCUUAACACAUGCAAGUCGAACGGUGAAGCGCCUUCCUUUUUGGUGGGUGUGGAUGAGUGGCGAACGGGUGAGUAACACGUGAGUAACCUGCCCCCUUCUUCUGGAUAACCGCAUGAAAGUGUGGCUAAUACGGGAUAUUCUGGGUCUGUCGCAUGAUGGGUCUGGGAAAGAUAUUGUUUCGGUGGGGGAUGGGCUCGCGGCCUAUCAGCUUGUUGGUGGGGUGAUGGCCUACCAAGGCGGUGACGGGUAGCCGGCCUGAGAGGGUUGACGGUCACACUGGGACUGAGACACGGCCCAGACUCCUGCGGGAGGCAGCAGUGGGGAAUAUUGCACAAUGGGCGCAAGCCUGAUGCAGCGACGCCGCGUGAGGGAUGGAGGCCUUCGGGUUGUGAACCUCUUUCGCCAGUGAAGCAGGCCUGCCUCGUUUGUGGGUGGGUUGACGGUAGCUGGAUAAGAAGCGCCGGCUAACUACGUG